This 408-nucleotide ribosomal RNA is filed under the name uncultured bacterium. Its description in RNAcentral is "partial 16S ribosomal RNA". It matches the Rfam family "Bacterial small subunit ribosomal RNA", at positions 28 to 526 of the family's 1533-position model. The record is from RNAcentral.
GACGAACGCUGGCGGCGUGCUUAACACAUGCAAGUCGAACGAAGUGGCGAACGGGUGAGUAACGCGUAAUCAACCUGCCCUUCAGAGGGGGACAACAGUUGGAAACGACUGCUAAUACCGCAUACUGAAGGAGGGGAUUGCGUCUGAUUAGCUGGUUGGAGGGGUAACGGCCCACCAAGGCGAUGAUCAGUAGCCGGUCUGAGAGGAUGAACGGCCACAUUGGGACUGAGACACGGCCCAGACUCCUACGGGAGGGAGCAGUAGGGAAUCUUCGGCAAUGGGGGGAACCCUGACCAAGCAACGCCGCGUGAGUGAAGAAGGUUUUCGGGUUGUAAAGCUCUGUUAAUCGGGACGCGGUACCGGAAUAGAAAGCCACGGCUAACUACGUGCCAGCCGCCGCGGUAAUUC